CUUGGUCAUUUAGAGGAAGUAAAAGUCGUAACAAGGUUCCGUAGGUGAACCUGCGGAAGGAUCAUUAGUGAAUCUUCAAAGUCGGUCGUCGGAUUGUGCUGGUGGAGACACAUGUGCACGUCUGCGAGUCGCAACCCACACACCUGUGCAUCUAUGACUCUGAGUGCCGCUUUGCAUGGCCCCUGAUUUGGGCCUGGCGCUCGAGUACUUUCACACACUCUCGAAUGUAAUGAAUGUCUUGUUGUGCAUAACGUACAAACAGAAACAACUUUCAACAACGGUCUCUUGGCUCUCGCAUCGAUGAAGAACGCAGCGAAAUGCGAUAAGUAAGUGAAUUGCAGAAUUCAGUGAAUCAUCGAAUCUUUGAACGCACCUUGCACCUUUGGUAUUCCGAAGGGUACGCCCGUUUGAGUGUCAUUGUAAUCUCAUACGAUCGACUUUUGUCUUUUCGUAUGUGGACUUGGAUGUUGCCGUGAUAAACAAACGGCUCGUCUGAAAUGCCUGAGUGUACCCCGCUUUGCGGCGAUUCGGUGUGAUAAAUCUUCACCGGAGUUGAUCCCUUUAUGGGGUCGCGCUGUAAUGGUGUGGCUCUAUGCUUCGAACCGUCUCCUAUCGAGACAAAUUCUGACAAUUUGACCUCAAAUCGGGUGGGACUACCCGCUGAACUUAAGCUAUCAAUAAGCGGAGGA
RNAcentral lists this ribosomal RNA (689 nucleotides) under uncultured fungus. RNAcentral's name for it is "eukaryotic LSU rRNA". The stretch from base 267 to 417 matches the Rfam family "5.8S ribosomal RNA". The record is from RNAcentral. Lineage: Eukaryota; Fungi.